Vespa velutina is the source of this 2617-nucleotide long non-coding RNA. RefSeq lists it as uncharacterized. The transcript has 3 exons. The record is from RefSeq and is a predicted model, not a curated record. Lineage: Eukaryota; Metazoa; Arthropoda; Insecta; Hymenoptera; Vespidae.
UUCUCUCCUUAAAAUUUUAUGAAAUCCAAAAAUUGAUUGUUGGGGAAGAUUUCGCACCAGUUUUAUUGUUAAGAUAUCUAAUAGCAGCUUUAAAAGAUCUAUACCAUUUCUCAAUGAUGCCUUUGAAUUUAGAAUGAUAAGCUGCUAUGCGUAUAUUUUUUCUUCUGAUAUUUCGACAAGAAAUUCGAAAUGCUAUGAUUUAAAUUAAGCGCCUCUAUCAGUUGUGAUUAACGUCCGAGCUUUAAAUUUUGCGGUUCAGGUAUUAAAAAAUGCAUGCAUUAUUGUGUCCGCUGAUAGUGAUGAUCUUGCUAAGAUGGUUUAUUAUGAUUAAAUAGUACAUAUUUGUUAUCUUUAGAUGAAUAAAAUGGAUCAAUAACAUUAAUGUGUAUAUGUUGAAAAUGAAUACUUGGAAUAUGUCAAUAUGUAUUAGAACUUUAUGAUUACAUUUAUUGAUCUUUAGUUUCUAUUUGGCCAUAUAAAAUUGCAAUUGAUCAUCUUCCGAUGUGCACAUUCUCUGAGAUGUUGACAAGAAAUGUAAAAGUUGAAUGGAAGAUGAUAUUUGCAGAAUGUUCAUGAGUUCAAUGUCGUUCGUGAGUUUUUCUGAAACUUAAAUUUCUGAAUUGUUACAAUCACGGCAUAUUAUUGCCUCUACUUUUGAAAGAGUCUAUUAUAAUAUUAUCAUGGUCUGCAAUGUACUAUAUACGACUUGUAACUGGCUGUUAAAAUCAAACUAUCAGAAUAACCUUGGCCAUACCUUCGAAGAUUUUUGUAAAAAUGCGUUCAUAUAACGGUCGUAAAUAUUGUAUUUAAUUUAAUUAGAGUUGAUGAAAAAAUCAUAAUGAUUGCCUGCCUGAGACAUUAAUCUGUUCGAGUGUGCAAUAAUGGAUACAUUCCGAUGCAUUCUUUUAAGCGGAUUGCAAGAAAAGAUCACUUUUGUCAAUUGCUUCUUGCAGGAUUCGAAAGUUGUCUCAGCAUCUGAGAUCCAAAUGAUCGACCUAUUAUCGUCUUCUUGACAUCCACUAAAAAGCGUUUAACGACAUUUGCGCUUAGACUGUUUUGGGAAUGAAACAUCUGCGAAAAUUAUCAUACCGAGGAAUCUACGAGUUCUUUAAUAGAUCUCUCAAAGUAUUUAAUUGCUUCAACUAUGUUUCCAUAGAUACGGUUUAAUCUGAAAUAUUUUAAAAAAGCUUAAUUUUCUUUGAAAAAAAUCUUGUAAAAAUGAUAUUUUCCUGACAAUAGUUUCAUGCAUAAAAAAAAGCUUUUUCAAAAAUUCGAGAAAAGUAUGUCGCUUAUAGCUUCAUCUUUAAAAUGAGACCUUGUUCAUCACAUUCUGACUCAACAGCCUAGAUUCGCUGUUGGCAUAAACGUUGUUGUCAUCUUUCAUGAAAAAAAAAUUCCGUAUAAUAACGCCCGUUGAAUUUUGCGUCAAAAAAGAAGCUGUUACCAUCACUACUAAUUUAUAUAUAAAUGCUUGAGUAAAUUCUGUUUUUUGUAAAGUAGACAAGUACUUCCUGUUUUGUGUGCAUAAACUUACGCUUAUAUUUUUGAUCCAUUUUAAACGCAAGUGAAAGCGUUCGAUACAUGGAGCACCACGGUAUUUAAUGAGCUUUCGCUGAAUUAUUCUAUUAUUUUCUUAGAAAUAAUAUAUAAUUCUGAAUAACUGUAUAACUAUUUAAAUAGUAUCCAUAUAAUAUAUAUAGAGUACACUAAAUUAAUAUUUAGACAGUACAUUCGCUGUAGACAGUAUAUUAGUAUAUUUUCUUACCUAGCUCGUAACAAUGCGCUAAAUACAAAAUAAAUUUGACUGAUUUUGAUUGUUAUCGAACCAGUUUCGUUUUGCGGAAUCGGUUGUCUGUCGGUUCUUCUUUCUUGGGGCAGGAUAGUCGUUGCAUAAUAACUAUAAAGACUUAAGAAUUCCAUUACAAUUGUGCGUGGAACGUGCGGAGAUCCAUUGUUCGGUACAGGUAAAAUAGGAAGAACAUUCAAUGUAAACUGUCAGUGGACACAGACGUAUGUGUUCGCGGGCACUCUACUGUGGAUUAAGUCCUACUGUAGACUCCGUUUUAAUGUUCGAAAUUUCGAAAAGACUACCGCCGUAGUCGAUAGAGAUGACUUAAAACUUCCGAUGUGGGAUGGUGGAGUCCAUAAGUCGAGUUUCAUCACUCUGCUGAUGAUAACGCGGCUGUUAGUCGAGAAUCCUGAAUCUCCAAAGUUGCAUGUUAUCCCAGCUUUUAAAGUAGAGUCCGUGGAUCUCCAUAGGCAGCAACAUCCUCAACUUCAUGGUGAGAAUCUGGUUCAGUAUUACUUGCAAUAUAUUGAAAUCUAAAUCUAGAUAUAUAACACAAGUACUACCGGAUAAAUGGCUGCAUAUUUCAAUGCGUUUCUAAAAUUUUUUCUUUCUCUUUCUAACUAAACUUAAAAAGUACUUAUAUAUACAUUACUAGUUACGCUUCUGUAGAUAAGUUGAUUAGAUAGAAUUAUAUUAGAAUUAGAAUUAGAUAGAAUUAGAUUAGUAAAAUAAUUUCUUAGGGAAACACUUACACUUACUUGAAACACAUUUUCAAAUUUUUUUUAUUAUUCUUAUUCAUUAAUGAGAUAUAUACAUAUUAUUAUAACU